RNAcentral lists this ribosomal RNA (464 nucleotides) under uncultured bacterium. RNAcentral describes it as "partial 16S ribosomal RNA". It matches the Rfam family "Bacterial small subunit ribosomal RNA", at positions 339 to 795 of the family's 1533-position model. The record is from RNAcentral.
CUACGGGGCGCAGCAGUGGGGAAUAUUGCACAAUGGGCGCAAGCCUGAUGCAGCCAUGCCGCGUGUAUGAAGAAGGCCUUCGGGUUGUAAAGUACUUUCAGCGGGGAGGAAGGGAGUAAAGUUAAUACCUUUGCUCAUUGACGUUACCCGCAGAAGAAGCACCGGCGAACUCCGUGCCAGCAGCCGCGGUAAUACGGAGGGUGCAAGCGUGAAUCGGAAUUACUGGGCGUAAAGCGCACGCAGGCGGUUUGUUAAGUCAGAUGUGAAAUCCCCGGGCUCAACCUGGGAACUGCAUCUGAUACUGGGAAGCUUGAGUCUCGUAGAGGGGGGUAGAAUUCCAGGUGUAGCGGUGAAAUGCGUAGAGAUCUGGAGGAAUACCGGUGGCGAAGGCGGCCCCCUGGACGAAGACUGACGCUCAGGUGCGAAAGCGUGGGGAGCAAACAGGAUUAGAUACCCUUGUAGUC